GCAGAGCCUCGCGCUGGGGUGGGGUUGCGCGCGCAGGUGAGGGGGGCGGGGCCGGCGCGACCGGCGGGGCGGGGCGGACACUCCCACCGCGCACCUGCUUCUGCCUGACGUGUACCCGGAAGGUCGUCAGCUCAGGCUCCAAAUAUGUAACAAACAGGUGGAGAGGUAUGAAGAACGAGGAACACUGCCCGGGGAGUUUCUUCCUCUGCAAAAUAAGGGAGUGUGUACUGAAUUACCGUUUCCAGCUCCAACAUCCAGGAUUUCAGCACUACCUGCAGAGUAGUGGGAGGAGAGAUAGAGGAAGAAGUGAAGAUAAGAAACCACUCGAAGCCGGUGUCUGGUGCUGGGACCGUGGUGGCUGGGACGGCAGCAGUCGUGCUGUCCAUCUGCUCUUCCGAGGGGUGGCACAUCCUAGCCUCUAUCUUUUCCCCAGAGAAGAUCCCCCUCGUCUGCUCUUCCCCCGUCUCAGCCUUUUAGUGUGUGAACAGUUCUGGUGUUACUCAGCAACGCUUUUGUUAGCGCCUUUACCAGCAAGUACUUGUUAAACACUUAAAUCUUACAAGUGGAAAGAAAAUUCCGUGGUAAAUUUAAGUACAAAAGUCAACCAAAAUUCUGAGUCUCGGACAAGACUGGUUAAAAAUCGUUCUACAAUGAAACUAAUAAAUUAAAUCAUAUAAAACUUUUA
RNAcentral lists this long non-coding RNA (685 nucleotides) under Homo sapiens (human). RNAcentral's name for it is "long independently transcribed non-coding RNA 2901, transcript variant 3 (LINC02901)". The record is from RNAcentral. Lineage: Eukaryota; Metazoa; Chordata; Mammalia; Primates; Hominidae.